CCCUACGGGGNUGCAGCAGGCGCGAAAACUUUACAAUGCGGGAAACCGUGAUAAGGGGACCCGAGUGCCGCAUCAUAUGCUGGCUGUCCGGGUGUGUAAAUACACCUGUUAGCAAGGGCCGGGCAAGACCGGUGCCAGCCGCCGCGGUAACACCGGCGGCCCGAGUGGUGAUCGUGAUUAUUGGGUCUAAAGGGUCCGUAGCCGGUUUGGUCAGUCCUCCGGGAAAUCUGACGGCUUAACCGUUAGGCUUUCGGAGGAUACUGCCAGGCUUGGAACCGGGAGAGGUAAGAGGUACUACAGGGGUAGGAGUG
Molecule: ribosomal RNA, 311 nt
Filed under: uncultured methanogenic archaeon
Lineage: Archaea; Methanobacteriati; Methanobacteriota
Description: bacterial SSU rRNA
Rfam family: Archaeal small subunit ribosomal RNA
Source: RNAcentral